UUUAUAAUUAUCAAUUGCAAUCAUCAUUAUUAUCAUGUGUAAUGUUUUGUACUUCGAUCACACCAUAUAUAGCUUCAAAAUCAUCACGACAACAUAUUAGUUCCCAAGUUCAAAGUUUGUGCUUUAAUUUUGUUGAAUACCAGGUUGUCAAAAUUGCUUCAACAUCAUAAAUUCAUUUCUCCAUCCAAUUCAGAUC
Molecule: long non-coding RNA, 196 nt
Organism: Ipomoea nil (Japanese morning glory)
Lineage: Eukaryota; Viridiplantae; Streptophyta; Magnoliopsida; Solanales; Convolvulaceae
Exons: 2
Source: RefSeq, a predicted model, not a curated record